Molecule: non-coding RNA, 352 nt
Filed under: Symbiodinium microadriaticum
Lineage: Eukaryota; Dinophyceae; Suessiales; Symbiodiniaceae
Description: Eukaryotic large subunit ribosomal RNA
Rfam family: Eukaryotic large subunit ribosomal RNA
Source: Rfam by way of RNAcentral
ACUCCGGGUCUUCAUGAUGCUUGCAGACUUUUGCAGAAUCCAUUGUAGUGCCUUUCCGCAGGUGCUUGCACUUCCGACACCGGCGCCCAUGGUUGCUUCUUUGACGGCCACGCGCUUGGGAGAAUCAGCGGACAUUGCCUCUUUUGGCAGCUGAUCUGUGCGGAAGACAUAGUCAGAUGGGGAGUUUGGCUAGGGCGGCACAUCUGUUAAACGACAACGCAGGUGUCAUAAGGUAGGCUCAAUAUGAGAAAAUCUCAUGUGGACCAGAAGGGGAACUCCAUGGGACAGGUCGGGCAGUCUCAAGAAGCCAACUCUCUCGCUUGCUAGGCUUUGCUGGGUUUAAACGAGCAGU